Molecule: ribosomal RNA, 465 nt
Filed under: Vreelandella stevensii
Lineage: Bacteria; Pseudomonadati; Pseudomonadota; Gammaproteobacteria; Oceanospirillales; Halomonadaceae
Description: partial 16S ribosomal RNA
Rfam family: Bacterial small subunit ribosomal RNA
Source: RNAcentral
ACUACGGGCGGCAGCAGUGGGGAAUAUUGGACAAUGGGCGAAAGCCUGAUCUAGCCAUGCCGCGUGUGUGAAGAAGGCCUUCGGGUUGUAAAGCACUUUCAGUGGGGAAGAAAGCCUUGGGGCUAAUACCCUCGAGGAAGGACAUCACCCACAGAAGAAGCACCGGCUAACUCCGUGCCAGCAGCCGCGGUAAUACGGAGGGUGCGAGCGUUAAUCGGAAUUACUGGGCGUAAAGCGCGCGUAGGCGGUCUGAUAAGCCGGUUGUGAAAGCCCCGGGCUCAACCUGGGAACGGCAUCCGGAACUGUCAGGAUAGAGUGCAGGAGAGGAAGGUAGAAUUCCCGGUGUAGCGGUGAAAUGCGUAGAGAUCGGGAGGAAUACCAGUGGCGAAGGCGGCCUUCUGGACUGACACUGACGCUGAGGUGCGAAAGCGUGGGUAGCAAACAGGAUUAGAUACCCCAGUAGUC